RNA transcript from Fragaria vesca subsp. vesca, 1454 nucleotides. RefSeq lists it as uncharacterized. Lineage: Eukaryota; Viridiplantae; Streptophyta; Magnoliopsida; Rosales; Rosaceae. The record is from RefSeq and is a predicted model, not a curated record. The transcript is spliced from 5 exons.
ACGAGAGAACUACCCAGGGCCAUGAUAUCCACACGGCAGUUGAUCAGAGAUUCGGCUUACAUAUGGCUACAACAAUCAUCAUCCCUCACCCAAUUUACAGUUAAUUAGGAAAUGGAAAACAAACACACACCACAAAAGCAUAGCAGAAUCAUACCCAAAAGAGGAGAAAAUUAUGAGAUUGGCUGAGAAGCUUCAGCGCACUUGAGGUCGGCUUCAAAAUUUUCAGUGGAUAUGGCAACAUGAAAAUCAAGAACGAAUUUAGAUAUGGCAACAUUUGUACUACCCCUCCCCCAAUCUGUUCUUGAGGUAUCUGAGCAGUUUAUGGUUCCAGCUACUCCAAUAUGCAGGCUUUUGACUUCUUUAGGUCUGCUAUCCAAUGACAUCUUCAGCAAAAUGCAAUUUCAGGUCCAAUACAAAGGCAGAUUUGGUCAAUUUGGUGGUUUCGUUGCCAAUGCCAUAGCUUCAGAUGCUUUUCCAGUUUUUUUUUUUGUUUUUUGUUUUUUGGGAAAAAAAGAGGCUGGAAGAUGUUUACCUCAACUCUACGUGACUUCUAUUUAGAUGAAGCACCAGGUCUGUACAAUGCCUAUAGAUCUGUACUAGGAAACAUACCGGUUCUGUGAUUGCAGGGUUCUCCACGGAAACUGAAGCAGAAGAUUUGACACGACCACAGAGGUUAGACAUGCUAGGCAGUUGUGCACAUUGCUAAAUGCUAAUUAAAGUUUGAUUUCUGCAAUUGCAUGCAGAUGUCUAAUAUAUAUGAAGGGUUCAAACCAUGCGAGUCUCCUCUGUCCUAUAUCUGUUAUUAAAGUUUUUGUUAUGGUAUCAAUUCUUAUGAAUCCAAUUGUCCUACGAACUUAAAACAACUGAAGAGUAAGGUUCAUUUCUUUACCCUAGGUCCCUACUGCAAAGAUGGCUAUUUUCUUUUCUUAAGGAAAAGACAGAUUCUCUGUUCACCUGAUAUUUAAUCCCAUGGAUUCACCAUAUCUCAAUUUUGGAUGAUUGCCAUUUUGAAAGAUGGCCCCGAGUUUCAUUUAGGAAAUUUCAUUUGGAUUUUUGUGUGUAGAGUUGUAUCACCUAAAAGAAAAUGGAAAAGAGUGAAAAUGAGUCUGCAUAACCAAUUUACCAUGAGUUAUUUGGCAAAACAGUCUCGAGUGAUCUCAUGAAUCAUGAUACCUUUUGUUUUGUUGUUCGGUUACUUUCAGGCACAGCAAGUAUUACUGCAGAUUGAUACUGACACUCUAAAACACAUACUGUAUUCAGGAAGCAAAGGUGAAGGUAGUGGUAUGCUCUUGAUUUCCUUUCGUCUGUUCUAUAAAUGGUGUGUGUAGGAAUUACCUUUUAAAUUGUAUUAACUGCAAUAUCAUAAGCUCGAUUGAAGUUGUAAGGAAAAGUUUCAUUUUCUUUUUGUAUAAUCUGUUGAAGUGGUUCGAGUGUGCUACAGCAGAUUUGAACAU